UUUUUCUUUCUUUCUUUUU
RNAcentral lists this small RNA (19 nucleotides) under Arabidopsis thaliana (thale cress). RNAcentral describes it as "ATSL055720". The record is from RNAcentral. Lineage: Eukaryota; Viridiplantae; Streptophyta; Magnoliopsida; Brassicales; Brassicaceae.